ACUGAAACAUCUAAGUACCCCGAGGAAAAGAAAUCAACCGAGAUUCUGUGAGUAGCGGCGAGCGAAAGUGGAAGAGCCAGUUAGUUUUAGCAUUUGUAUUAAGAGAAUGAGUUGGGAAACUCAAUCAUAGAGGGUGAUAAUCCCGUAUCUGAAAAUGCAAUUGUGGAACUAAGCUAACGAUAAGUAGGGCGGGACACGUGAUAUCCUGUUUGAAGAUGGGGGGACCAUCCUCCAAGGCUAAAUACUCCUGAUUGACCGAUAGUGAACAAGUACUGUGAAGGAAAGGUAAAAAGAACCCCUGCGAGGGGAGUGAAAUAGAACCUGAAACCGUGUACGUACAAGCAGUAGGAGCAACUUCGUGUUGUGACUGCGUACCUUUUGUAUAAUGGGUCAGCGACUUAUAUUUUGUAGCAAGGUUAACCGAAUAGGGGAGCCGUAGGGAAACCGAGUCUUAACUGGGCGUUUAGUUGCAAGGUAUAGACCCGAAACCCGGUGAUCUAGCCAUGGGCAGGUUGAAGGUUGGGUAACACUAACUGGAGGACCGAACCGACUAAUGUUGAAAAAUUAGCGGAUGACUUGUGGCUGGGGGUG
This 591-nucleotide ribosomal RNA is filed under the name Pasteurella atlantica. RNAcentral describes it as "partial 23S ribosomal RNA". It matches the Rfam family "Bacterial large subunit ribosomal RNA", at positions 192 to 823 of the family's 2925-position model. Lineage: Bacteria; Pseudomonadati; Pseudomonadota; Gammaproteobacteria; Pasteurellales; Pasteurellaceae. RNAcentral also lists the same sequence under 1 other name. The record is from RNAcentral.